CCCUUAGAUGUUCUGGGCUGCACGCGCGCUACACUGAUACAGCCAAAGAGAUAUUUUUGCCUAUCGGCUGAGAGAAAUCUUGUGAAUCUGUAUCGUGAUGGGAACAAACGAUUGCAAUUAUUCGUUUCGAACGAGGAAUUCCUAGUAAGCGUGAGUCAUCAGCUCAUGCUGAUUACGUCCCUGCCCUUUGUACACACCGCCCGUCGCUACUACCGAUUGAAUGGCUUAGUGAGGUCUUCGGACUGGACUUCGGGGAGCCGGCAACGGCACCCUGUCGCUGGGAAGUUGAUCAAACUUGGUCAUUUAGAGGAAGUAAAAGUCGUAACA
RNAcentral lists this ribosomal RNA (327 nucleotides) under uncultured eukaryote. Its description in RNAcentral is "partial 18S ribosomal RNA". It matches the Rfam family "Eukaryotic small subunit ribosomal RNA", at positions 1470 to 1796 of the family's 1831-position model. The record is from RNAcentral.